UACGUAGGUGACAAGCGUUGUCCGGAUUUACUGGGCGUAAAGAGCGCGCCGGCGGUCGAUCAAGUCGAGUGUGAAAGCCCCCGGCUCAACUGGGGAGGGUCAUUCGAUACUGAUCGACUCGAAGGCAGGAGAGGGUAGUGGAAUUCCCGGUGUAGUGGUGAAAUGCGUAGAUAUCGGGAGGAACACCAGUGGCGAAGGCGACUACCUGGCCUGUUCUUGACGCUGAGGCGCGAAAGCUAGGGGAGCAAACGGG
Molecule: ribosomal RNA, 253 nt
Filed under: uncultured bacterium
Lineage: Bacteria
Description: partial 16S ribosomal RNA
Rfam family: Bacterial small subunit ribosomal RNA
Source: RNAcentral